CCUACGGUGGACAGCAGUGGGGAAUCUUGCACAAUGGGGGAAACCCUGAUGCAGCGACGCCGCGUGAGUGAAGAAGUAAUUCGUUAUGUAAAGCUCUAUCAGCAGGGGAGAAAAUGACGGUACCUGAGUAACAAGCCCCGGCUAAGUACGUCCCAGCAGCCGCGGGAAUACGUAGGGGGCAAGCGUGAGCCGGAUUUACUGGGUGUAAAGGGAGCGUAGACGGCAGUGCAAGUCUGGAGUGAAAGGCGGAGGCUCAACCCCCGGACUGCUCUGGAAACUGUACGGCUGGAGUGCAGGAGAGGUAAGUGGAAUUCCUAGUGUAGCGGUGAAAUGCGUAGAUAUUAGGAGGAACACCAGUGGCGAAGGCGGCUUACUGGACUGUAACUGACGUUGAGGCUCGAAAGCGUGGGGAGCAAACAGGAUUAGAUACCCGGGUAGUC
Molecule: ribosomal RNA, 440 nt
Filed under: uncultured bacterium
Lineage: Bacteria
Description: partial 16S ribosomal RNA
Rfam family: Bacterial small subunit ribosomal RNA
Source: RNAcentral